Molecule: ribosomal RNA, 449 nt
Filed under: uncultured bacterium
Lineage: Bacteria
Description: bacterial SSU rRNA
Rfam family: Bacterial small subunit ribosomal RNA
Source: RNAcentral
ACUCCUACGGGAGGCAGCAGUGGGGAAUAUUGCACAAUGGGCGCAAGCCUGAUGCAGCAACGCCGCGUGAGGGAUGAAGGCCUUCGGGUUGUAAACCUCUUUUAGCAGGGAAGAAGCGAAAGUGACGGUACCUGCAGAAAAAGCACCGGCUAACUACGUGCCAGCAGCCGCGGUAAUACGUAGGGUGCAAGCGUUGUCCGGAAUUAUUGGGCGUAAAGGGAGCGUAGGUGGUAUGAUAAGUCAGAUGUGAAAGCCCAGGGCUUAACCCUGGGACUGCAUUUGAAACUGUCAAACUAGAGUGCAGGAGAGGUAAGUGGAAUUCCUAGUGUAGCGGUGAAAUGCGUAGAUAUUAGGAGGAACACCAGUGGCGAAGGCGACUUACUGGACUGUAACUGACACUGAGGCUCGAAAGCGUGGGGAGCAAACAGGAUUAGAUACCCUGGUAGGUC